UGGGUAGCGAAGUUCGGUUGUGAUAACCGCUGAAUGCAUAUAAGCGGGAAGCACGCUCUAAGAUGAGAUCUCCCAACCCGUAAGGGAAAUGAAGGGCCCAGGAAGACCACCUGGUUGAUAGGCUGGAGGUUGAAGCGCAGCAAUGCGUGUAGCUUACCAGUACUAAUCGCCCGUUCGGCUUGUCCAU
RNAcentral lists this ribosomal RNA (187 nucleotides) under Acidobacteriota bacterium. RNAcentral's name for it is "partial 23S ribosomal RNA". It matches the Rfam family "Bacterial large subunit ribosomal RNA", at positions 2742 to 2925 of the family's 2925-position model. The record is from RNAcentral. Lineage: Bacteria; Pseudomonadati; Acidobacteriota.